Pieris napi is the source of this 585-nucleotide long non-coding RNA. RefSeq lists it as uncharacterized. The transcript has 2 exons. The record is from RefSeq and is a predicted model, not a curated record. NCBI's taxonomy places the organism in Eukaryota, Metazoa, Arthropoda, Insecta, Lepidoptera, Pieridae.
ACUCUUUUUAUAAAAUAAAAUGAGUCAAUUGUCACGAUAUUAAUAGACAACAACUCACUAGGUUACCUCCCUCCACUUAUCAAGACGUAAUGUAAAAUUUCUUAACAGAAUACCAUGAGAUUCCAAAAAUUACGUCAGUGACGAAGGGAGCGCUGUUACUGCGUAAUGGACUCACGGAAUAACUAUUAUUUUAUAAAAAGAGUUAAUUGUCAAAAUUUUCAUCAUACAUAAGCAAAAUAUUUUUAAUAAAACAAAAUUACGUAUUUUGUUUAUAACUUCCAAUUAAGAGUUUAUAUUUCGUAUUUACCCGACAACUGACCAGCCGUGGUGUAUAUGAGCGACAGAAACUUAAAAAUAUUAAUUAUGUUUCAGCACGAAACAAGGGAUACCUAACAUCUGGAUAUAUUGUAAAAAAUUUAAGAAUAUUAUCUUAACAAAAAGAUAAAAGAUGAUGUCACGCUAAAAGUGAUUCUCUCAGCAAAUGGGCUACGGAUUCAAAGUAAACAGGAUGGAUAGGUGUUUUAAAUUUUCAAAAUGUUACUAAAGGUAACCAAGCCAUCAGUGGUAGUUGUCAAGAAUGAGGAA